Molecule: long non-coding RNA, 914 nt
Organism: Lathyrus oleraceus (garden pea)
Lineage: Eukaryota; Viridiplantae; Streptophyta; Magnoliopsida; Fabales; Fabaceae
Exons: 2
Source: RefSeq, a predicted model, not a curated record
CAAAAUAUAAAACCAACAAAAAGGCUAAGGACAUGGGCCAAAGUUGGAGGUGCAGUGGUAAAAAGGGUGGUGCGUAUGAACAGACCCAUUUUGGACCUUAGGCCCAAACCUCAUGAGGUGAGCCGAAAUCCGCAUUUGCAUCCAAGAUUCAGCACAUGAACCUUCACCUUGCCGCAGCCCAAAACUCCAACGAAAUCCUUUCGUUCUUCAUCCUCACCUCUGAUGUUCAUGGCGAAAAACACGAUUAAACAGAAACAGAAAACAGAAUCCUAAACACCAACGCUGAGAUCCCUUUCAACUCAUUUUCAAUGGAUCGAAAAUGCAGAAUCUGAUACCGAAGACGAAAUGUAACCGGAUCGUACCUUGCGAUGGAUUGAAGAGAGAUAGAAGAAUAACUCAUCGGUGAGUGACUCUUCGGCGAUAACAGGUAUUAGAUUCUUUCCUCUUCUUUCUCCGUUUUCCUUCCUCUUCUUGCGUGUUGUUCUUCUUCUUCUAGGAAUGGCACGGUAUUGUUGCUGGCUAUCGAUACGUGAGUGCGUGUAUGAUUAGCUCAAAGAGCAUAGAAAAACCAGAGAAAUCGAGAGUGAUUGGUGAAGUUAUGAAGGGAUGAAGGAAUUGAAGGUACAUCGUGAAGAAGCUGAAUGAAAAAGGCUGGUGUCGUUUUUGGUUGCGAGUCGUUGCGUUUCCAAUUUGUGCCGUCGUUUUUCGUUUAUGCCGUCGUUUUGGCUUGUGUAUGUUGUGCGUAUUGUCGUUUGUAUCGGCGUGUGUAUGGUAUUUUAAUUUCGUUUUUUGGGCGUUUGUGUGUAUUGCAAGUACCACUUCUGCUCCUGUUAUGUACUGGUGUACUAAAAUGAACUGUACUUGUAUGGGUUGUAUUGAUGUUGUUGUACUGAUAUUUCAAAUUCCUUGCUUCA